Molecule: ribosomal RNA, 401 nt
Filed under: uncultured bacterium
Lineage: Bacteria
Description: bacterial SSU rRNA
Rfam family: Bacterial small subunit ribosomal RNA
Source: RNAcentral
UCAGCAGCCGCGGUAAUACGUAGGGUGCGAGCGUUAAUCGGAAUUACUGGGCGUAAAGCGUGCGCAGGCGGUUUGUUAAGUCAGAUGUGAAAUCCCCGGGCUCAACCUGGGAACUGCGUUUGAAACUGGCAAGCUAGAGUCUGUCAGAGGGGGGUAGAAUUCCACGUGUAGCAGUGAAAUGCGUAGAUAUGUGGAGGAAUACCAAUGGCGAAGGCAGCCCCCUGGGAUAAGACUGACGCUCAUGCACGAAAGCGUGGGGAGCAAACAGGAUUAGAUACCCUGGUAGUCCACGCCCUAAACGAUGUCGACUGGUUGUUGGGCAACUUGAUUGCUUAGUAACGAAGCUAACGCGAGAAGUCGACCGCCUGGGGAGUACGGUCGCAAGAUUAAAACUCAAAGGA